CAGUUUGACUGGGGCGGUCGCCUCCUAAAAAGUAACGGAGGCGCACAAAGGUUUCCUCAGAUCGGUCAGACAUCGAUCUUCGAGUGUAAAGGCAUAAGGAAGCUUGACUGUGAGACCUACAAGUCGAACAGAGACGAAAGUCGGUCUUAGUGAUCUGGCGAUAUUGAGUGGAAAAGUCGUCACUCAACGGAUAAAAGUUACUCU
RNAcentral lists this ribosomal RNA (204 nucleotides) under Tetraselmis sp. GSL018. RNAcentral's name for it is "partial Bacterial large subunit ribosomal RNA". It matches the Rfam family "Bacterial large subunit ribosomal RNA", at positions 2266 to 2468 of the family's 2925-position model. Lineage: Eukaryota; Viridiplantae; Chlorophyta; Chlorodendrophyceae; Chlorodendrales; Chlorodendraceae. The record is from RNAcentral.